This 465-nucleotide ribosomal RNA is filed under the name uncultured bacterium. RNAcentral's name for it is "partial 16S ribosomal RNA". It matches the Rfam family "Bacterial small subunit ribosomal RNA", at positions 28 to 507 of the family's 1533-position model. The record is from RNAcentral.
GACGAACGCUGGCGGCGUGCUUAACACAUGCAAGUCGAACGGAAAGGCCCCUUUGGGGGUACUCGAGUGGCGAACGGGUGAGUAACACGUGAGUAACCUGCCCUUGACUUCGGGAUAACUUCAGGAAACUGGGGCUAAUACCGGAUAGGAAUCCUUGCUGCAUGGUGGGGGUUGGAAAGCUUCGGCGGUUUUGGAUGGACUCGCGGCUUAUCAGCUUGUUGGUGGGGUAGUGGCUUACCAAGGCUUUGACGGGUAGCCGGCCUGAGAGGGCGACCGGCCACAUUGGGACUGAGAUACGGCCCAGACGCCUACGGGAGGCAGCAGUGGGGAAUAUUGCACAAGGGGCGGAAGCCUGAUGCAGCAACGCCGCGGGCGGGAUGACGGCCUUCGGGUUGUAAACCGCUUUCAGCAGGGGCGAAGCUUGUGGUGACGGUACCUGCAGAAGAAGCACCGGCUAACUACGUG